AUAGCCACAGCCAUAGCCCAGUCUUCGGAAGCUGCCAUAUCCACAGCCACAGCCACAGCCCAGUCUGCGGAACCCACAGCCAUAGCAGGAGCCACAGCCAUAGCCCAGGCCUCCAUAGCCACAGCAUCCAUAGCCCUGGUCCCCAUAGUAGUUUCUGUAGUAGCUACACAUGGUGUUGGUUGUUGAGGUUGUGCUUGGGAAAAGAAAGAGA
This is a non-coding RNA of Ceratotherium simum simum (southern white rhinoceros), 211 nucleotides long. Lineage: Eukaryota; Metazoa; Chordata; Mammalia; Perissodactyla; Rhinocerotidae. The record is from RefSeq and is a predicted model, not a curated record.